Molecule: ribosomal RNA, 468 nt
Filed under: uncultured bacterium
Lineage: Bacteria
Description: partial 16S ribosomal RNA
Rfam family: Bacterial small subunit ribosomal RNA
Source: RNAcentral
GACGAACGCUGGCGGCGUGCUUAACACAUGCAAGUCGAACGGAAAGGCCCUGCUUUUGUGGGGUGCUCGAGUGGCGAACGGGUGAGUAACACGUGAGUAACCUGCCCUUGACUUUGGGAUAACUUCAGGAAACUGGGGCUAAUACCGGAUAGGAGCUCCUGCUGCAUGGUGGGGGUUGGAAAGUUUCGGCGGUUGGGGAUGGACUCGCGGCUUAUCAGCUUGUUGGUGGGGUAGUGGCUUACCAAGGCUUUGACGGGUAGCCGGCCUGAGAGGGUGACCGGCCACCUUUGGACUGAGAUACGGCCCAGACUCCUACGGGAGGCAGCAGUGGGGAAUAUUGCACAAUGGGCGGAAGCCUGAUGCAGCAACGCCGCGUGCGGGAUGACGGCCUUCGGGUUGUAAACCGCUUUCGCCUGUGACGAAGCGUGAGUGACGGUAAUGGGUAAAGAAGCACCGGCUAACUACGUG